Molecule: RNA transcript, 1586 nt
Organism: Musa acuminata AAA Group (dessert banana)
Lineage: Eukaryota; Viridiplantae; Streptophyta; Magnoliopsida; Zingiberales; Musaceae
Gene name: BTB/POZ and MATH domain-containing protein 1-like
Exons: 4
Source: RefSeq, a predicted model, not a curated record
CUGAUCGAACUCUGCCGCUGUUUCGCAAUCGAUCGAUUUAUCACGGAAAAACCCAAGUCGUUAGACCUCAGGCGUUUCCUUCUUCGUCGUCGAUCCGACGCCGAUUGUGUCGAUCUAAGCCUGGCGAGAUGGGUAGCGGUAGGGUUGGCAGAGGAGGCACGUCCGCGCGGCCGACCUACUUCUCGUCGUCUUCGCACCCCUCGGCCCCUCCUCAUCCGCCGACGGAGACGGCGUCGACGUCCGUCACCGAGACGGUGAACGGCUCCCACCACUUCAGGAUCUCGGGGUACUCGUUGCUCAAGGGGAUGGGUGUCGGAAAGUACACUGUGUCGGACACGUUCACAGUGAGGGGGUACGACUGGGCCAUCUACUUCUAUCCCGAUGGGAAGAGCGCGGAGGACGGCGCGGCGUACGUGUCGCUGUUCAUCGCCCUCGCGAGCGAGGGGGCCGACGUGAGGGCGCUUUUCGAGUUGACGCUGCUGGAUCAGAGCGGGACAGAGCAGCACAAGGUUCACAGCCACUUUGGUAGGAUGCUCGGGAGCGGCCCUUACACUGUUAAGCACCGCGGCAGCAUUUGGGGGUAGAAGCGUUUUUACAGAAGAACAGCUUUAGAGACAUCAGAUUAUCUUAAAGAUGAUUGUCUCUUGGUUAAUUGUAGUGUUGGUGUUGUUAGAUCAUACACAGAAGGACCCAACAUUUGCACCAUAGCAGUGCCACCCUCUGACAUAGCUCAGCAUUUUGGGCAGCUUCUAAAGAGUGAAAAGGGGACGGAUAUAAGUUUUGAAGUUGAUGGUGAGGUUUUCAAUGCUCACAAAUUGGUACUUGCAGCUCGAUCACCUGUGUUCAGGGCUCAACUUUUUGGUCCAAUGAAAGAUGUAAACAUGCAUUGCAUAAAGGUUGAAGAUAUGGAACCUUCAGUUUUCAAGGCUCUACUCCAUUUUAUAUACUGGGAUUCCGUAUGUGACAUGGAAAGGAUUACUGGUUGGGAUGCAAAGUGCGCUUCAACUCUAAUGGCUCAACAUUUGCUUGCUGCUACUGACCGCUAUGCGUUGGACAGGCUUGAAGUACUUUGUGAAGUCAAGCUGUGUGAGGAUGUUGCUAUAAAUACAGUGGCCACCAUUCUAGCAUUGGCUGAGCAGCACCAUUGUUUUCAUCUUAAAUCUGUUUGUCUCAAAUUUGUUGCAUUACCGCAGAACUUGAGGGCGGUGGUGCAAUCUGAAGGAUUCAAAUACUUGAAGGUCAGUUGUCCAUCACUUCUAAAAGAGCUGUUACAGUAUGUUGCCGGGAAAGGAGAAAAUUCAGCGGUUUCGAGUGCAGACACGAAUGAUGCCCUCGAUGGCAGUGAUGCGAAUGGAAGGCGUGUCAAGCCCCAGAUAUGAUAUUUUCUGUUCAGAUAUUAUUUUGAGUCGGGUCUGCCGUACCGAAUCGUACCGCCUGGUAUGGACGGUACGUACCGGUCCGACAGGAUAUCGGUACGUGGACCGUUUGUUACCGGUCCGAGUGCAAUAUAACAUUGUAGCAGUGCUACAGUACUCGAUACACCUAGGUAUAUCGCUCGGUAUACCGUACCGUACUGGUACCGAGCC